Molecule: ribosomal RNA, 382 nt
Filed under: uncultured eukaryote
Lineage: Eukaryota
Description: partial 18S ribosomal RNA
Rfam family: Eukaryotic small subunit ribosomal RNA
Source: RNAcentral
UGUAAGCGUAUACCAAAGUUGUUGCAGUUAAAACGCUCGUAGUCGGAAUUUGGCAGUUCCGGAUGUGUGCACGUCGUGUGCGCACUUCGCGGGGAUUGCUUUUGUGGUCUUGCUUAGGAUGAGGCACUUUUAUUAGUGAACGUCCUCACGCAACCACUUUUUACUGUGAGAAAAUCAGAGUGCUCAAAGCAGGCAUUUGCCGUGAAUGUAUUAGCAUGGAAUAAUAGAAUAGGACUUGGUUCUAUUUUGUUGGUUUGUUGGGACUGAGUAAUGAUUAAGAGGGACAGUUGGGGGCAUUUGUAUUUCGGUGCUAGAGGUGAAAUUCUUAGAUUACCGAAAGACAAACUGCUGCGAAAGCGUCUGCCAAGGAUGUUUUCAUUGA